Topomyia yanbarensis is the source of this 2221-nucleotide long non-coding RNA. RefSeq lists it as uncharacterized. The transcript is spliced from 5 exons. Lineage: Eukaryota; Metazoa; Arthropoda; Insecta; Diptera; Culicidae. The record is from RefSeq and is a predicted model, not a curated record.
CUCGUCCGUCAAACAUCUUCCAUUAAUCGAAUCACCGAUAUUGUCGGACCCUCGGAGUAACGUCAGAAGUAAAAAAGAAAUAAUCAGCGGAUCAAAAACAUCUCAUGGAUUGCCUAAUUAAUCAUGUCAAAUGCCGGAGCCAAUCGAGCGUCAUAUAACUCUUUGUAUGUAUAUGGAAAAGACAUUUUCUUCGGAUGUCUUUACUGAUUUCUGGCAGAAUUCUAGCUCGAUAUCAAAAACCGAUUCAGAACAUUUGAAAAAUACACCUGGCAUCCUUGGUAGCGAGUGUUUACUUCUUUCGCAUCGAUUGAAACGAGUGAAAAAAAUUACGGAAAAUGUACCGGUAAUAUUGAAUCAAGUGAACAAUGAUGAUUAAUUUUGCGAUGUGAAGAAACCGAAAUAGUCAUCCUAAAAGUACGGUCAUAGCUACUACUCUUUUCAGAAGAACAAAUGGAAGGCCCUUGCAGUUUGUUUCAUCAAUGAGCACAUUGAUGGAUAAACGGCUGUUAAUGGAACGGCUAAAUGACAAAUACAAAUACAAACCAUUCACAAUCGCACACUUAUCGUGUCUAAGAAUUUCGAAGCAGAUUCGAAUGAAACCUAUGCAACUCGAUACAAUGUUCACAUUAUUACGGAUAACAUAUACAGCGGUAUUAUGACCAAUAUGACCAUCAGUACGGUCUGUGCAGUGUCCUGGGAUAAAAAUUUUACAGCGAACCAGUAAGACUUCAACAAUCAGUCACGCUUUUCUUGAGUUAUCGACAAAGCGGAAGUAUACAAAGUAUUGCUAUUAUGCUCCUUUGUCGCGUUGGAUCUAAUUGAACAAAAAACUGACGAUGCUGCCCAAGGAAUUCUUGAAUAAUUUAGCGCUAAUAUCUUGGCUGAUACUAAGUUAUAGCUUACAACAUUACUAUCAUUCACGAAGGUAUGCUCUUCAAAUUGCCUGACAGCAAGCAGUUUUUGUCACGCUUUACCUAUAAAUGUGAUUUACUACACACCAAUGGUUACGAUUUUCGGACAAUGGAUGAAUAAUUGUAUAACUUUAUGAAGAUUAGAAGCAUCUUCGAGGAAACAUCGCAUCCCACCAGUUUUAUUCAAAUUGAACACAGCAAGCAUAUUUAUAUAGCACCGCGCCAUAAAGCAUAAGGCAUGCAACAGUCAUCGGAUUAUUCGCAACAACGUCGAUAUGCUUCAUACCAUUAUCAUGUGGAAUAUUUGACAGUACUGCCGACUAUAAUAUAUGGAAGGAUAGUAUUACAUACUGCAUUUAGUUAGUAAGGCUAAGAAAAAGUCAAUUGCAGAAUACGUGAAUGGCAUUGGUUGUAAGAAGAUGAUGUUAGUUGUUGUCUAAACAAAGGAAUCGCUAGUUCACUGAUCAUUCAGAAUAUAUGUUGAAAAGUUAAAUUAACAUGAAAUUAUGCUUUUUAGUAUUUUUAUAAUCAAACAUAUAUCCAGAAAAUCCAUCUUAAUUUAAAAAAACUUAUCAGCUGGUACAACCAGUAUCAUUCCUGAAAUCAACAAUAGCAUUAGAUGUUAAAACCAAGACCAUUCCUAAAAUCAACAGCAACCAUUAUUAAAAUCAACAACAACACUAGCUGUUACUACCAGGACCAUUCUUAAAAUCAACAACAAUAUUAGCUGUAACAACUCAUUUGAUAAGCUGUAUUGGAUGGUGUGUGUCUAUGCUAACUGACAGCAUCAUAUUUUUAACUAGACGUUUUAGUUGUUUCAGCCAAUGUUUUGUUGUCACAAAAACAAAAACGACAAAUUAGAAAAAUCAACAAUCGAUUAGCUGUCCCAAAUUUUAACUAGCUGAUUUCAGAAAUAUGACUAAUAAUUUAGUUGCUAUACGAUCCAGAGUGUUUCCGUGCGUUCUUUCAAAAAUUGUUGUUUCCCUUGAACCACUUGACUGGAAGCUGUGAUCGCGAGUAGUCCAUCGUAUCGUGGAAUAGACAUGUGAGUUAGCUAGAGUGAACCUAAAAUUAAGAGUAUUAACGUGCUAUUUAAAAACUCUAGGGCCAAUACGCUUAGAUAGUUUAAAAGGCGAUUAGUGCCAAGGUUUAGUCCUGUAGGAGAAACGUGCUCAGUGACAUAUGGUAAGCUUGACGCUUUGUCGGUAUAUUCGGGUAAUUGAAGGUGACGCCCGUUAAACAACAUUAAACCCACUACUGUUCAACGUGUUUUUUGCCUUUCUCAAUAGAAAGGUAUUGCAAUUGCUCUG